RNAcentral lists this ribosomal RNA (624 nucleotides) under uncultured archaeon. RNAcentral's name for it is "bacterial SSU rRNA". It matches the Rfam family "Archaeal small subunit ribosomal RNA", at positions 145 to 774 of the family's 1478-position model. The record is from RNAcentral.
AUAAUUACUCCAUAGAUUAGAGACACUGGAAUGUUCUUUAGUCGAAAGUUCUGGCGCCUUAGGAUGGAUCUGCGGUCGAUUAGGUUGUUGUUGGGGUAACGGCCCAACAAGCCUGUAAUCGAUACGGGUUGUGGGAGCAAGAGCCCGGAGAUGGAAUCUGAGACACGAUUCCAGGCCCUACGGGGCGCAGCAGGCGCGAAAACUUUACAAUGCAGGGAACUGUGAUAAGGGAACUCCGAGUGCCCGUAUACGCGGGCUGUCCAGGUGUUUAAAAAUCAUCUGAAGAAAGGGCCGGGCAAGACCGGUGCCAGCCGCCGCGGUAAUACCGGCGGCUCGAGUGGUGGCCACUAUUAUUGGGCUUAAAGCGUCCGUAGCUGGACCGAUAAGUCUCUUGGGAAAUCCGCCGGCUCAACCGGCGGGCGUCUAAGGGAUACUGUUAGUCUAGGGACCGGGAGAGGUGAGAGGUACUCCGGGGGUAGGAGUGAAAUCCUGUAAUCCCCGGGGGACCACCGAUGGCGAAGGCAUCUCACCAGAACGGCUCCGACAGUGAGGGACGAAAGCUGGGGGAGCGAACCGGAUUAGAUACCCGGGUAGUCCCAGCCGUAAACUAUGCGCGUUAGGUGU